UACAGAGGUCUCAAGCGUUGUUCGGAUUCAUUGGGCGUAAAGGGUGUGUAGGUGGCGCGCUAAGUCGGGUGUGAAAUUUCGGAGCUUAACUCCGAAACUGCAUUCGAUACUGGCGUGCUUGAGGACUGGAGAGGAGACUGGAAUUCAUGGUGUAGCAGUGAAAUGCGUAGAUAUCAUGAGGAAGACCAGUGGCGAAGGCGGAUCUCUGGACAGUUCCUGACACUGAGGCACGAAGGCCAGGGGAGCAAACGGG
Molecule: ribosomal RNA, 253 nt
Filed under: uncultured bacterium
Lineage: Bacteria
Description: partial 16S ribosomal RNA
Rfam family: Bacterial small subunit ribosomal RNA
Source: RNAcentral